CGUAGGUGGUUUGUUAAGCGAGAUGUGAAAGCCCCGGGCUUAACCUGGGAACGGCAUUUCGAACUGGCAGGCUAGAGUGUGGUAGAGGGUAGUGGAAUUUCCUGUGUAGCGGUGAAAUGCGUAGAUAUAGGAAGGAGCACCAGUGGCGAAGGCGGCUACCUGGACCAACACUGACACUGAGGUGCGAAAGCGUGGGGAGCAAACA
Molecule: ribosomal RNA, 205 nt
Filed under: uncultured bacterium
Lineage: Bacteria
Description: partial 16S ribosomal RNA
Rfam family: Bacterial small subunit ribosomal RNA
Source: RNAcentral